UGGAUUAGUGGCGAACGGGUGAGUAACACGUGAGUAACCUGCCCUUAACUCUGGGAUAAGCCUGGGAAACUGGGUCUAAUACCGGAUAUGACUCCUCAUCGCAUGGUGGGGGGUGGAAAGCUUUAUUGUGGUUUUGGAUGGACUCGCGGCCUAUCAGCUUGUUGGUGAGGUAAUGGCUCACCAAGGCGACRACGGGUAGCCGGCCUGAGAGGGUGACCGGCCACACUGGGACUGAGACACGGCCCARACUCCUACGGGAGGCAGCAGUGGGGAAUAUUGCACAAUGGGCGAAAGCCUGAUGCAGCGACSCCGCGUGAGGGAUGACGGCCUUCGGGUUGUAAMCCUCUUUCAGUAGGGAARAAGCGAAAGUGACGGUACCUGCARAARAAGCGCCGGCUAACUACGUGCCAGCAGCCGCGGUAAUACGUAGGGCGCAAGCGUUAUCCGGAAUUAUUGGGCGUAAAGAGCUCGUAGGCGGUUUGUCGCGUCUGCCGUGAAAGUCCGGGGCUCAACUCCGGAUCUGCGGUGGGUACGGGCAGACUAGAGUGAUGUAGGGGAGACUGGAAUUCCUGGUGUAGCGGUGAAAUGCGCAGAUAUCAGGAGGAACACCGAUGGCGAAGGCAGGUCUCUGGGCAUUAACUGACGCUGAGGAGCGAAAGCAUGGGGAGCGAACAGGAUUAGAUACCCUGGUAGUCCAUGCCGUAAACGUUGGGCACUAGGUGUGGGGGACAUUCCACGUUUUCCGCGCCGUAGCUAACGCAUUAAGUGCCCCGCCUGGGGAGUACGGCCGCAAGGCUAAAACUCAAAGGAAUUGACGGGGGCCCGCACAAGCGGCGGAGCAUGCGGAUUAAUUCGAUGCAACGCGAAGAACCUUACCAAGGCUUGACAUGAACCGGAAAUACCUGGAAACAGGUGCCCCGCUUGCGGUCGGUUUACAGGUGGUGCAUGGUUGUCGUCAGCUCGUGUCGUGAGAUGUUGGGUUAAGUCCCGCAACGAGCGCAACCCUCGUUCUAUGUUGCCAGCGCGUUAUGGCGGGGACUCAUAGGAGACUGCCGGGGUCAACUCGGAGGAAGGUGGGGACGACGUCAAAUCAUCAUGCCCCUUAUGUCUUGGGCUUCACGCAUGCUACAAUGGCCGGUACAAAGGGUUGCGAUACUGUGAGGUGGAGCUAAUCCCAAAAAGCCGGUCUCAGUUCGGAUUGGGGUCUGCAACUCGACCCCAUGAAGUCGGAGUCGCUAGUAAUCGCAGAUCAGCAACGCUGCGGUGAAUACGUUCCCGGGCCUUGUACACACCGCCCGUCAAGUCACGAAAGUUGGUAACACCCGAAGCCGGUGGCCUAACCCCUU
RNAcentral lists this ribosomal RNA (1346 nucleotides) under Pseudarthrobacter scleromae. RNAcentral's name for it is "bacterial SSU rRNA". Lineage: Bacteria; Bacillati; Actinomycetota; Actinomycetes; Micrococcales; Micrococcaceae. The record is from RNAcentral.